CCGCGUUGUUGGUCGAUGCCGCGGCGGCGGCUUCAUACGCCGUCAGCGCCGUGUUCAGGUCGCCGUAUCGCUGU
This 74-nucleotide transfer RNA is filed under the name Phycisphaerae bacterium RAS2. RNAcentral describes it as "tRNA-Met". The record is from RNAcentral. Lineage: Bacteria; Pseudomonadati; Planctomycetota; Phycisphaerae.